AAGGACACAACUUCUGGAAUAAAAGGGAAUCAUGAAGGAAUAUUUCCGUCAUGUGUCUUUAAGGGGUUAAUCCCCUGUUCUUCUUAAUCCUCCAUUCCCCCUGUUCUUCUUAAUCCCCCCUGCUCUUCACAGAGCGCUCAGAUGGCUGCAGCAUUAGGACCGGCCCUGCAGCGGCCGGUUUAAAAAUUAUUUGGGGCGGCCUGGGGGGCAAUUGCCUCCCUGCCACAGCCCGCCCCUGGGUAUAGGCCCAACCGCCAUCUUGUUAGUGACUCAGAGUGAGGUGGAGGGGCUGUAUUGGGCUACCGGGGGCCACGGAGGUGCUCGUGUGAGGCCAUCGGGGACUGGGAUAACCCCCACCGGUCCAGAGGAGAGGGGGUAACAGGGCCAGUGAGACAGUCCAUCGGAAGCUGCACCAUCGAUCGGCGAUCGGUAAGUAGAUGAGGUGCCGUCCACCUCACCCCUCGCUACAGUAGGCUGCAAGCUCCAGGUGUACAAUUUUCCAGCAGGGCUUCACAGCAUCCAGGCCUGAGGUCUGCAGGUUAAGCAGUGAGUUGUUGUGUGACAACUCGCAGUUUUUCUGGAGAAAUUAAGCAGAUUUUCCACUUAUAGAGAGCUGAUUAGGUGAGAACAGGCUGGAGCUCAUCAGACUUGCGACCAGCCAGCAUGGCGGUCCGGCCAUGAUACCUUGUACCCUUAUCACAUGCUUGGCUCCCUGACAUUUUUACAACUUAUGUUACUAAUUUUUAUAUAAAUAUGUAUAGUUUAUCCUACUGUGUUCUCACAUAUGCAAUGUCUUUAGUUGAAAAUGUCAUUUCUAUUUUAUUUUUCAUAGCUAUUUUUUACGUAUUG
Pelobates cultripes (western spadefoot toad) is the source of this 849-nucleotide non-coding RNA. The record is from the annotation of a GenBank genome assembly. NCBI's taxonomy places the organism in Eukaryota, Metazoa, Chordata, Amphibia, Anura, Pelobatidae.